ACUUGGUGGCUUAGAAUGCUGUGGGAGUUUGUUGGAUGAAUAUACGAAGUUGUACCCAUUCUGCUUAGAAUUAGUUCUUAUAUCAGCAAGGUUACAGAUGAAUGACUUCGAGAAUUUUGAGGGUUUUGAGGAAGCCAUUAGGAGCUGGCCAAAGGAAACGCCUGGAAUUCAUUGCAUCUGGAAUCAAUAUAUUGAAUGUGCCCUCCGAAAGGGAGAUGUUGGAUUUGUGAAAGAGCUUAUUGGCUUCAACUCCUCUUCAGAAGUUCAAUAUCAUCAACAAGAAAAGCUGGAUGUUACACAUACAAAUAGCUCAGAUCAGUUAUCAAGAUUAGCCUCAGCAUCCAAUCCAGAGUUUUUGACAUCCAAUUCUAACUGGAUGGAUAUGACAUUUGGAUAUCUUAAUUACUCUCUUGCUAAAUUGUUGCAUAAUGAUCAUAUUGAGGCCCGCAAUGCCAUUGAUAAAGCAUUCAAGGCUGCAGCUCCACCAAUCUUCAAGCAUUGCUUGAGAGAACAUGCCAACUUCUUGCUUAACUAUGAGUUACAGCUAAAGGAGGAUGCUUUUAUUAGUGAGCAACUGAAUGUAUUGAAUGGUUAUUUGGAUGAUGCCCGGGCUCUUCCUGUGUCUGAGCCGUUAUCAAGACGAUUCAUAAAUAAAAUUGAGAAGCCAAGAGUUCGGCAGNNNNNNNNNNNNUUGAGUCCAGUUUCAUGUGAUUUUUCUUUAGUUAACAUAGUUCUUGAAGUUUGGCAUGGGCCCUCUCUUGUACCCCAAAAAUUUAGCCAGCCACAGGAACUGGUUGAUUUUGUGGAAGCCAUCUUGGAGAUUGUGCCAUCUAACUAUCAAUUAGCAUUUUCUGCUUGUAAGCUGUUGAGCAGAGGUGAGCAUUUUAGUGAAGUAUCUUCUGGCAGUAUGUUGUAUUGGGCAAGCUCAACCUUGGUCAGUGCAAUCUUUCAUGCUAUCCCAAUAGCACCAGAGUAUGUAUGGGUUAAUGCUGCAGGUAUUUUGGAAGGAAUUGAGGGUACUGAGUUAAUUUCUGAGAGAUUUUACAGGAGAGCUUUAUCCGCUUAUCCAUUUUCCAUUAAGCUGUGGAAUUGCUAUUAUAACUUAUCCAAGAUUAGAGGAGAUGCUAAUUCCAUCGUAGAAGCUGCAAGAGAAAAAGGCAUUGAACUUGGUUGAUAUUUUCUGGAAGAUAAGAGUCAAUUUGGUAGAAUCACCUUUUGCCCAAAAUAUAGGGAAGGCCUCAAUCUGAAUGGAUGAUGCAUUGGAUUUGUUAAAUCCUUGGCAAGUUAGAUAUUGAGCACACAAUUGAACAUUAAGAUUUUUUGAGAUUGAAACUAGGUGCCACAGAAAUUCACAGGAUAGGAACAUGAUGGAUCAGGUUUCAGCUUUUUUUAGGUGAAGGGGGUUCCUUAAGGUGAGAUUUUGCCCCUCCUGUACAGCCUCAUCAUUUCUUGACUCUAUUUCUUACAAUACUAGUUACUUGUAAUUACUGGAAUUUUUUAGUAAAUGUUAAUUGUUUUAAUUAAAUGAAUACAAGUUACAUCAAGUUUCUGUUCUCUUCAAAAAAAA
This 1567-nucleotide unclassified non-coding RNA is filed under the name Hevea brasiliensis (rubber tree). The record is from RNAcentral. Lineage: Eukaryota; Viridiplantae; Streptophyta; Magnoliopsida; Malpighiales; Euphorbiaceae.